UGUUCCAUUGCUUACAGACACAAUAUCUUAAAACAGGGAGUUGGGAGUGACCAGAAUAGACAGGAUCAGAAAUAUGAAUAUAUAACAAGGACAGCACAGGGUGAGCAGUUUGGAGACAAAGUUAGAGAGGCAACCCUGAGAGUUUUAACACAUGAAGAGAAAAGAUGGUAGAUAUAUUGGGCAAAGGAUGCUAAAUAUGCAGCUUCCAGGCAAGAGGAGAAAAGGACGACUGCAGAGAAGAUUCAUGGCUGUAGUGACCGCAGAGGGUUGGUGUUACAGAGGAGGAUGCUAGGGGUAGGGCGACAUGGAGGCAGAGCAUCCAUCAAUUGGACUCAAGGAGGAACUAAGAUUUUGACUUUUUUUAUUUUAGAAAUCAAGGUCACUCUAACCUUGCAAACACAUUUUUCUAUAACUCAAGAAUUUCUACUAAUUUAUCUGGAAUUUUACAUCAAUUCCAGAUAUAUAGAAUGUCGCAACUCAAUUUAAUUGUUCUGUCUGUUACUAAGUGCCACUGUAAUGAUUGUGUAGCUAUUAGACACAUGAUAACCAUCAACAUUGUAGAAGUUGUACAUAAAGCGACUAUUACUGAAUUUGUCUCAUGUGAAUACAUGUUUAGCCAUAAAAACUAUUCUGCGUUCUGUUUUUCUUAGUGAACUAGGUAUAGUUGAGAGCAAGUCCCCACAAAGCUUUAGAAAGAAAGUAGAAAUAACCUGUUCUAUUCCUAGACCCUUGGUGUGGAUGGGGAACAAGUCUCAUUAAUAGGCAAAACAGGUAAAAACUACAACUUUACUGGUCGGUGAGGUGAGGACUCACAUUUUAGACCCUGCAGUUGUCUUGUGAAGUGACACUGGACUGAACUCAGAAGGUAUUGACAAAAAAAAUAAGAAUUUAUGACUUUUCUGAUUCAUUCUUUGUGUAAGACCAGACGUCUGCUUUUAAGACACGACAGUGAAUACAGUUUUUCCCAGAAGUACUUCAGAGUGAAUCCUGCAAAGUGUAGUCAACAUGACCAGUCAGUAACUGGAGGUUUGAGCUGAUAUUUUGGUUUGACUUUUCAAAAUUAAGCUCCUCGCAAUUUUACUUAAACACACACACACACAAACAAACAAAAAAAAAGCAUUUGCUCUACUGGAAAUGUUUUGUGGUUGGGUGGUACUGCUAAAUUGCUUUUCACCUCUACCACAUUUGAGCUGCCAAGCUGUGGUUGGCAACUAACCCGAGACUCCUGCCAAUAUUCGGCUCAUUUCACAUAUGGUUUGACUUUUCCACCCGGAAAAAUGGCGUAAAAAAAAUUCUGUGAAGCACGCAUCAUAUUUGAAUAUUAAAUAAAAUAAUUUAUUUAUGUACAUGUGGACGGAAAACUGUCAGCGCAACCCUUUCAUAAUAGAGAGGCAAACGAAUGCGGUGAAAAGUGUGGGACGUCUGUUGUCUUAAAGCUGAAGUAUGCCGUAUGAAGUGAAGUGUCAUUAACCUCCAAAAGCCCCUCAAAAGUGACCACCUUUCUCUUAUGUGUGGUGGAGGGUUUUGAGCAAGUGUCAUGCACCCCUCCUGCUGUAUCUAUCGUCUCGCUUCACUUCUGUCUCUCUAUUGAUUAAAGGCCGGGGGCCCUGAGUGUGUUGGGCUGCUGCACGGCACGUUUAAAAAGGCUCGUGUUUACCCUUUUCCUUCUCAACUCAGUACAUGAGAAAGGUUUAGUGAGCUGUGUGUACCACUGGUGACUCUGAGCGUAAAUAUGGCCUCAAAGGUUUCUUGUGCAACAGCCACAACAAGUCAGCACUUUACAAGGCAUUGCAGGCGACCUGCAGAUAUGCUUCGUUUGAAAUUUGAGCCUUGAGUAUAGCAUGUCAAGCAAUCUUCAAAUUACUCAGCUAGUCUUUAAUGAGGAGUCUUUCUUCCCUCAGUGGCACAUCAUUGCUUUCAAAGAAUGACAAGCAUCAUUGCAAGUGUGAACAAACUUGCAGGAGGAGCGUGCAGCCGUCAGGGAGAAGUGAAUCAAAAAUUUAACGACAGCAUAAAUUUUUGUAGAUUUGCACAGGCACCAGAGAUGGGGAGGGGAAACAGACAAACGGAGCAGCAGCAGCCCUGACACAUGGCCCAUAUUCACAGCCGCCUCCCACGUCACUGUGCUCCUCAGAGAAAAAGCCCCUUUUGUUUCCCAAAGCAGGGAGGGAGGAAGGUCUCUGGGGUGAACCGUCGCUCAGCUCCACUACUCCACCCGCCAUCAAAGGAAAAGAGAGAGAAAGAAAAAGGGACCGGACUUCCCAACUCUGCCUGGCGUCCUCCAUACUUACUCGCCGCCUCAGCACACAAACACAGGCUCAUCAGUAGUACCACUACUACGGUUGUGAUUGUCUUUUCCUGCAACUUAAUUGGGUCAGUCUGCAUCGUUGCAUUAAAGACGUCGCCAACAAUGACCUUGCUGUCCUGUGCACUGCUGCUAUUAAUGAAAGAGGUCUUUCAGCUGCUUUACUUGACCAAAAGUAACAUUGCUAGUGUGUAACACUUAUAAGAUAGCAAAGAAUCCCUGCAUUAAAAUGUACUGUGCAACUUUCCUCUGCAAAAUAUCCUUAAAAUCAUCAAAAGUAGAUCUAGUUAUGCACAAUUAUACCCCACAAUCAUGUAAUAUUAUUAUGUAUUUGAUUGUAUUACCUUUUUUAUCUUAAAAUAUCAGAUGUAUUAAUAUAAAAGCAUGUGGUAGUUUAUGGAAAAAGUAUUAUAUUUUCCUCAAAUAAAUAAAAUCCAACAUUCAAGUUAAGUUUAAGCAUGAAAGUACUUUUAUUCAGUGUAUCUCGAUGGCCUUCUACUGUGAAGAUUUUAGUCUUUUUAAACUGAUUUGUUCCAGCAUUUGACUUAAGAGUUGUGUGAUUUUGCCAAUGACAAACUGCACCUUUUUUAGGACAACUUGUAUUUUAAGAUUACGCUGUUUAAAUUCUGUGCAUCACCUACACAUGGUAGAUUUUCACCAGCAAGGCAUGGGUCAGUUUAGGCAGUUUGCACUAAUUGCUCUCCUUGAGCAGUGCAGUGGUUAGUGGUUCAUUAGCAGGCUGGUCCUUGUUGUGUAUAAUUUGCAUGUUCUCUCUCCAGGUACUCUGGAUUCUUCCCACAGCUCAAAAACGUGAAUAUUAACUUGCCAAUUCUAAAUUAUCUGUGAAUGUUAAUGUCAGCAUGAAUGACUGCCUCUCUGUGUUAGCCCUGCAAUAGACGGGCCACCUGUCCAGGGUGUAGCCCACCUCUCUUACACUACAACAGCUGGGUCAGACUCCAGCAACGCUGAAUUGGAUAAGUGGUUACGAGGCUGAAUUUAUGGCUCCCCCUCAGAUGCCUCAGGAUGUAAAAGUUGAUUUCCGCGCACACAAAAUUUUUGGACACUUUGAUGAAAACUGCUUGGAUGCAGCUGCUGAUCUAGCUUUAAUCACCUUUGUUAAUCGGCUGCACAAAAGUAUAAUUAUUUAUCUUUUUUCCCUCUCUGUCUGUUUAAAUUUGCAGUCCAUGGUGAAAUAGCAGACGUGCAAGUGGCCAGAAAGGGAUUUGGCAGUCACAGAAUCCUUUAAUUGCUCCAAUGUUGCAGUUCCUUGUGUGGAUGCCUGCUGUUUCCACCCGUCCACCACCUCAACAUCCACCUGUAAGCAGCUUGAGUGAUAAACCUACGUGUCAAACUCUAUAUUCUACUGCUGUAAUGAAUCAUUUAGAAAAGACUGAAGUUCAUCUGCGUAACUAGGCUAAAAGUCAAAUGAUAUUUUAUCCCUCUCAUGCUAGUCAUUUGGAAGUCAUUUCCUCCAGGGUUUGCCUUACGCCAGUCACUUCAAUUCAAAAGAAAGUGAAGCAACAAAAUUUACCGAUCACUGGAAGCUUUUUUUGUUUUUUUUCUACCUGUCAGAGUUGUGCCUUUUUAACAGAGACAAAGAGCAGCAGGGAAGAUCCAAAUCUAAGCACCCUGAAAUUUCUCUGCCUCAUCUAAGGUUGUUUUCGCCACGCUGACCUCGUUCCUGCUUGGAGCGCGUGCGGCGUCUGUUUGUCGUGUCACAGCAGCGUUGUUGUUAAGACACUGCUGAACUCUGGGUGACUUUCUCACAGGGGCCAAGUCCAGCUCCAAGUUUAUGAUCCAGCCAGUGAAUGUGUGAAACUUCACCGUGUGUGUGCGUGUGUGUGUGUGAGCUCGAGGGGCAAACAGACAAACGCCUGCCAGGAUGUCCAGAUAAAUCCAAAUUUCAGAAGCGACCAACCGAAGCUAAUCAUUCCUCUAGUAAUUCCUGCUUUGAUCAAAUUAUCUUUAUUCAGUAGCACAUUUAAUGGGGCUACUUUUCUUCAAACUCUGUGAGUACAAGCUCAGAUAAUCGAAUGUGACCCUGAAUAGGCUUGCAUGAAUUAACAAUUGCCUUUAAUGACAACGCCUGAGGGAAACAAUGGAGUGACCUUAACCAUAAGUGUUUUGUUUAUCCGACACAUAAGGAGAAAAAUGCUUGUGACUGACACUGAUUGACCUCGCAAAGCUUCCAGCUGGUAUGACCAUUUCCUGUAAUCCUCCUCCUUGAAGUCAUGGGGUUGUGGCGAGUUUAACAGAUAAAUAAAUGCCACAUAAAAACGCCAAUGGAAAAAGCUCCUAAUAAAUUAUGACUGGCUCAGUUUCAAAGUUAAUACAGUGUAUUAACAGACAGCAUCUUGAGUGCAACGUGUUGUUAAAUGGAAGAGGUAAACUGGCAGGUUUUUAGUAUUUAAUGUUUCUUCUGUCUAAAUAAAGAAAAAUAUUAUAUUAUCAUCUGAUCUACAUGUUAAAUACCAACCUGUGUCAUUUUUGCCAGAUCCAGUGAAGGCCUCUGUUUGUGUGUGUCAUCUGGUCUCCUGCGCUUCACACCAGUCUUCUUCUCAUUGAGGACGCAUGGCUGUGAGCGACUACGGGGAAGACCCCCCUGUCCUCCACGGCGUUCCAGUUCUGGAGUGGAGUCGGGGGAGCUGGGAGGUGACGGUCCACGAGGCUCAGGGAGACAAAUUUGUUCAUGAGAGAGGUAGAGGGGCUGCGAUGAAGGGUCGGAGGACAGGGGCACUGAGGAAGAGGAGGAGGGAGUCAGGCUGGUGAACGCAGAAGACCAUGGAGGGCGCUGGGUGAAAGACGGCAGCUCAAGGGUGUUGGAUCGGGCAGGCAGGCUGAAACUGGAGCUGCGCUGCAUGCCCGCAAAGCCACUCUGCAUGUUUCCAAUACUGCUGCGUUGGACGCUUCCUCCACUGUGGCACCUCCGUUUUUCCACAGCUGUCCACACGCGAGAGCCCUGAGGACGCCAGGAAGAGCGACAACCACUGAGCUCGUCUGAGCAAGACAGGGACCGGCACUGUCGUUUGCUGGGGGGAGCGGUGGAGUGCGAGGCCUCAGUUAGGCUUAGGUCCUGCAACAAGUUAGUGAUUGUGCUUGAAGUGGAGCCAACAUCCCAGUCCCAGUGGGCAGAACUUGUGUGCACUUCUGGCAGAACAUCCCACAGGCUCUCCAGGCUGGUUCCAACUGGCCUCCGCUGUAUGGCACACCUGUGACCCAUGUCCCUCCACCGGCUUGUGUCUGCAACAAACAGACCACAUUUAUAUGAAUGAAACUGCCUUUAAAAAACAAAAGACACCCAAACACAAUCCCACCUACAAUAUGGGAAACAAUGUAAGGGCUAAACUUGAACUGAAAGUGUGUUGAUCAAUCAACAGCUGCCCACAGAUCUUAAUGCAGUGUUCAAACUCCAGUGCUAAUCUGUUAGUUUCCCUCUUUUUUCCCUUCAGUCUCUUCAGCAGUUUUCAACAACAGCUCUAUACUCAUGCAGGACUGCAAAUUUACUCCCUAGUGUCAAAUUUACACAAAGAUUUUAAAAAUAUAUUAAGAUACAAUUAAAAAUCCACCAUUAUACACCCCUGCAGCACUGUGCAAACUCCUUUAGGAGAUGAAUCUCAAACAAAGAAAAUUGCUUUUAGCCCUAGGUACUACAAUUGUUUAGUACCCGCAACUUAUGCAAUGCAUAAGCAUGGGUGUCACCAUGUGUACUUUGUGUUGACACUACUCACUGCUUUGUUUAAUUGGCACUAAAAAUAAAUACUGCCCUGCAGCCACUGCUUUAGCGUCACCGUCUGUAAGUACAGCUGAUUGGAAAAGGGAAUGGAGCUCAACGUCCAACUGACUCAACAUGCCUGAGCAAAUGUCAAUAAGCUUCUAACUACAGCUUUUCAUCUCUUCGUUGAGAUUUGCAAGAGCGAUGCAUCAGACCAGCUCGGUAUUUGCAGUCAAUGGUCAGAUAUUCUCCGAAACCAAAGCUACCAUGCAAACACCUGUUAUUGUCAUAGAAACAACACUCGUAAACCACAGAACAGAUAUGCCAAAUGAACUGGUUGGUCAACUCUGAGUCAGAUACUAAACAUCGAGGCCACUGCCCACUUCUGGUAUGCAAAAGGUCUAUUCUUCUUCACUGGAGAUAAAAUUCCCCAAAAUGCCAUCCACAAUACACGGGUAGGACAAAGAACAAAAGGCCUUCUGGUACAGCUCUGUUCUAUGCCAGGACAUUUUCAAUUCUUACACACUCAAUGCCAAGUAACUGCAAGGACAUAAUACAUCCAAUUAUACAAAACAGAGACUGUAAAGUAUGUCCUAACGCUAGAAGAAAACUAAAGAUAUGACUCUUUUGCAGCAUGUCUGGAGUAUUGAAGCAUCCAGGAGUGCCGCAAAAUUUAAAUUAAUGCUAAACCCCCAACACAAAGUCGUUACUGUAUUAUUUUUGUUGGCAAAAACACCUGCCAGACAUGUUUCACCAAACAUAAAGUUACAAUGAACAAAAUGCACUAGACUUUAAUCAUCCAUCUAGACCAUCUAGUACAUAACUACUUUAUAACAACACUUCCUGUCCUGUUUGUUAUUGUAAGCAAUGUGCAACAUGUAAAUAAGUUAAAGAUCUAAGAUUUUAUCCAUGUCACAUAAUGCAAACCUUUACCCAUGAGUCCGCAAGAGAAAAGUGCUGUCCCCUGGCUCAUGGUCUGUGCCUGGAACUGUAGAAAAAGAAAAAAAAAGAAAUUUUUCAGCUUACAGGAAAGCCACAAAAAUAAAAUGUAGAACAGGCUUUAAUAAUUACAAGUCAGUAAACCAACAAAUAAAAAGAAGCAAAAACAACAACUACUGGAAAGACAGAUUCUGUGUAUGCGUUACUGGUCCUACGUGCAACUCGGCAACGCAGAGAAAGAGAGAGAGAGAGAGCAUUCCACCAUAAAUUCCUCUGAUGGAUGCUCAGCCCGUGAACAUGAUGACUUCAUUUCAUGGGACUAAGAGGGCAAAGUCAGUCCAUAUUAGUGGGGGAAUUUUUACUCUGUGCUGAGUCAGAGCUGCUUAUCCUAGUAGAUAGAGCACUAUAAUACUCGUUUCUAGUGAAUCUGUGAGUAUCAUUUUGGUAACAAAAUGGGGGGUGGGGGGGUUCAACAGAGUGGAUUAUUACUGACUAAGAUUUUGUAGCUCUGGUUAAAGUUGGCAAAUUAGAAAAAUAAAAUGCAGAAUCAUAAAAGUGCUAUGGAGUAAUGAGUGGCCAGCAAUAACUUCCUAAACCUGAGCAGAACAUUGUCCUCUUCCUCAUUGGGUGAAGUCUCGUGGUUAGGUUGUGUCAUUUUAUGUAAACAUGUGAAAUAACACACAGAGACGCACACUCACAAAACAUCUGCUCACAUGAAUAAAAAAUAACCUCUUACCGGGACAAAAUUUGUGCGUUUGGUUGUUACAUCAUCGGCACCCUUCUUUUCCAGUGUUUUGGGGUAAAUGAUCACCAUGGCAACGCACAUGCUUGUCCCACGUCGUUACGGUAAUGCCAAGUUAAGCUGGAGGACAUCUCGAUGAGCACGGCGUUAGCAGACUGAUUUCUCAUAAAUUAAAGACGCCCACCCUCGGCUCCUCCCAGAAUGUGCUUCACUCCUCGGUCCAAUCCUGAGCAGACACACAAAGAUGAGCCCAGGAUUAUAAUUCAGUACAUUUCUGACAUUCUGUCGACCAUAUAAGCAGAGAGCCAUCAAGCAGGAGGAGAAGACAAACUCCUUUUUAUGGAGGGACACUAUCAUCAUCUCAGCUUCAACUACUAAACUCCUAAUGGUAUCAAAAGUUAAUCUUAAAAGUCUUACAGGAAAUCUCUCUCCUUGAGAAUAGUUAGAGCUACAGUCACAUUAGCAGCUGUCAGGCUGUAUGCUUUGAGCUAUAUGCUAAUGUGGGCAUGCAAUGAAAAUAAUAACAUGCUUAUGCUAUGUAAAACAUUACCCAUUUGUCAUGUUCCAGUUGUAGCUUUCCAACAAUUUUACAAAAAUUUACACGAUGUAUUCAGCUAAGUAAUCAAACUAUAACACAAGUAAAUGUCCUCGUGUCAGAUUCAAACCCAAACCUCUGCAUUAGUCUUACAGCACAUAGGUCUCCUGUUUUACCCAGUGAUCUAAACCAAUCCCAUAACAUUUUGUAAAAACCCAAUAAUUCUAAUUCUACCACACCUAGAAGCAAAACUUAAAAAGUGGGUCAGGGCUUUCCCCGCCUGAUCACCAGUACAUUUGCUCUUCAAAUCAUCAGGAGACAAUUCAACUGUUGCAUACAUCUGCCUUGUCACAAGGAGUCACCACAGCAGGUAGCUCCACGUUUGAUCCUGCAGUUUUAUGCCGGAUGCCCUUUCUCAUCCAUCCCCAAAGGGGGAUUUGUGUCACUGCUUAAACACUGAAAUACAUUCUCACUCUUACUGUAGCUGUAUAAAAUGGGAAAAUGUGCAAAUGUCACAUUCUUUAUAAGGUUUCAUCUUGCUACUAUAAAAGCCAACUUGUAAGUCAACCCCUUCUUUGGUCAUUUGGAUGGCACAAAUAGCAUGCAUCAAGGGAGAGAAUUAGGUAAAAAAAAAUGUUUCACAGCUAAAUCUAAACAGGUUUCAUAGUCUACUUCAAUUAAUACUUACUAAUACUUGUAUUUAUUUAUUUAUUUUAACAAUGCUUAUUAGCAAGUACUGUAAUAAGGACUACAUGGGGUAACCUGUCACCAUUAGGUCAAACUAAACAGUACAAAGCUAGUUAGGAUGGUUUGAUCAGAUUAAAUUAUACCCUGGGUAGAUAAUGCAUGCUUAGUUUAAGUCUAUCAAAUGAUUUCAAUCACUGGCCUGUUAACGUUGCACAGGCACGCACACUUAUGACAACCAUGAAACCACAAAUAACAUUCUUUCACGAAUGAGCAAGCUUUUAACUUUUUAGAUCUAACUUGCAUAUGCAGAGAUGAGCAUUUAAUACUGAUAAAUUCUCCAACUCGCCCGUCACUCUACACAGGAGCAUCCUGUUCAACAUCUGGAAGAUAGAUAGUGGAAAUUUCAAGGAGGUCAAUGGCUCGACAAGCUCUGUUUAUUAUUCUCAAUGGAGUAAACAUUCCCAGCAAACACUCGCUUUGAUUGACAAGGCGUCACCUAUUUCGUCAUGCUGCCAUCGAUAGAUUAAUAUUACAAGGUGUUUCACUUCCAUGUUCUCUCCAACCUAACAACAAAAGUGGAACUCUAUACCUUGUUUUAUUUUUGCCUGUUUUUAUAGUACAGAGAGCAAGUUUCCUCAAAAGUGUUCCAUUAAGCACACAGCAAGGAAUAGAGCAAAGUCAAAGUUGUGUAAUUGAAUCCUCAGGGGCUGGCUGGGAAUAGCUGACCUUGCGGUUAUCAAAACAACCUUCUUCGUAUUAAUGCUGCGCCAUGAUUACAGUAAAACUGCUGAUUAGUCACAGAUAUAAAUCUAUAUAAUCAUCAUGGAGAAUUUUACAACCACUAGAUCAGUACCACACGAAGCCAAGUAAGAUAGGCGACUGAAAUAAAGUGAAGUGGACACAAGAUCUUCGUACGUUGCAUGCAAGGUCAGAGGGUGUGCACUUAAAUGACAGAACAACUGCAAGUGGAGUAAAAAAAAAAGGGGGGGGGAGAGAUGGUGCAUGCAAAACAAAAGAGUGCUUUGUGCAGAAGAUGAGACACCGUGGGAAACAAUAAAGGCGACAUCUGAGGUUGCCGGCGGUGGGGUAAAGUGUGUGUGCGUGAGGGAUGUUGGGGGAAGAGCAUCACAAGACCCUGCAGGAGCUGACAUGCUGAAGGUGGCAUUUGCAUUCGGCAUAUGAUUUCCAUUACAAGCACUUACCACAUGAAGAAAACAACUUAACUAGAAGGACGUUUUUAGCAGAGUUAUAUAAAAUAAGAUCAACACCACUCAAGGAUGUCUGGCAGUUUUAACUUGUGGCCUGUUUGUUGAGAAAAGGACACAUAAAAGCCUGAAGCUGGAGUGGGUCAGGCCGAUUACACUGUGCAUGAGUAUUAACCUCAGAGAUCUGUUUCACUGCAGAGAUAGCUAUGGAUGUGCUUGGACAGAGGAAACAGUUGUUUAUAUAUUACACUGAAUGACUUGGUGACAUACGUAAGCGACAUUAACAAAGAGAAAAGAAAGUUUGCCCAAACAUGAGAAAAGUUCUGACAUUUAUUUGAACAAAGAGGUAAUUAAAUUACGUCUCCCUUCCCUAGAAGGAUGGAAAAAGACAAAAUCGAGUCCUACAUUCUUGAUUCUAAAAUUGUAAACAACCGCCGCUGUAGCAGCGGCUUAAUCAUCUUUCUCAUGCUUGGGCAUUUCAUUUUUAUCCCACAAAUCCCAUCUCCCAUAAAUCUGAACUGAGUGCUUUAAAUGGGUGAGGUUUAUGACAUAAUUAUAAACAUUCCUCGGCUCCAUGACAUGAGUUGAAUACACAAUUAUAAAAGCCUAACCUUGCAGCCUUUAAAAGCCAUUUAAACUUGUGUCAGUGUGUGAAUAAGUUCUGGCAAAGGCUAGCUUGGUCUGCCUUUUCUUGUACAGACAAACCUGUAAAAGAAAUGUGGAAGCCAUACCAUAGCAUGACUAGUGCUUAAUGGUUACACCCAACCCACUCACCUAAUACUGCAUGCACAGCUGUGCUCAUAGACGGUGUAAUCUGCCAAAUGAGGUAUCUAGAAUUUCUGUCCAAGGGGUGCCACUCCCCUUCUGAUGUCAAAACUCGAAUCACCUCCAUUAACGAUGCUGGCAUUAUCGGGAAUCAGUGGGAGUCUCUAUGGUUCUGCAGCGCGAUAACGCUUUAUCUGAGCCAGGGCAGCUGACACUAUGACAACUGAGAAGUCUAAUCUCUAUAAAAGGGGAACAACGUUGCAGGACGUGCUCCUCAGACGUGGCCUUCCAUCACAUGCAAACAGGCUGCUGACUGACUGCAGCAAAGACUGCAGUGACAGCAGCCAAGUCUGCAGUGACAGCAGCCCUUCUGAAACACAACAAUAAGCCGCCUUGGGCAAGCUGAUGGGACUCCACGCUUCCUUUGUGGUCACUAGAAGGCUUUCAACCAUCGCAGCUUCAGGUUGUCAGAAACAGAAAGCUAUGGCACAGUGUAAAUGAGAUAGGACACGACAGGAAACCACAGAAUUGAUUGGGUCAAGUUAAAGCAAAUGUCUGCUUUAAAGUCAGCCAAGGUCUCAAAACCUCCAGAUACCCUACUGUUUUUUCUAUGAAAAAAGAAAAGAAAUGACACUUUUUUUUUUUACUUAAACUGGGUUUGCACAUCUAAAAUAAGUGCACCCCUGUUUCGUCAAUUUGAACAGCUUUGCCAUACAUGACUUACGGUGUAAUCCCAUGGGUUGGGCCACCAUUAUAUAAGGAUUUAGCAGCUUUGUGUCUGAUGGGCAAUCAGAGCUAAUACUAAUCCAUCUAUAUAGCACUUGGACAGCUGGUGGAAAACAACACAGAUAUGAUUGUUUUAGCCCCAAAUCAAGUGUAUAAUACACUUCUAAACUACUUAUAAGAUUAUUAUGUACCCAUUUGAAGGAUAUCGCAGUGCUUAAAUUUAAAGCUCUCGUCUGGGUACACUGAUACACAAACAUCUUGUGAUGGCGAGGAUGUCAAGCUAAAUUUCCACGCAUCCUCUUUUGAUGUGCACAAAAGAAUGGCAGCUGGAGCUGUGUCCUGCCCUCAACAAUCCCAGGAUUGUGGCCAUCUCAAUAAUCUGAGCAUCUGCUGAGCACCUGAGAUGGCCAGACUUAAAAACGAACUGAGGGAUUUAUGCUGCUCUUCAUGACUGCACCACUUGUGAAAGGAAUGCUGGGUAAAUGCCUGGCUGUGGCUCUCUGCAGAAACACUCCCUUGGAAAGAAUAUGCAUGUUCCUAAAAAGCUUGUUUCCCCAAGCUGUUGGCACUGAUGUUGUUCAUCUUUGGGCUGCAUGCAGGCCCCAUAUUUGGACUCGCAUUUGAACAGUCUCUAAUGACAUGGUGGUGUUUGAAUUAAUAUAGCUAGUGAUACUACAUCAUAGACCAGAUAUGUGAAUGACAUAGUGUCAAACUAGUGUUGCGCUUUUGUAUCUGUGGAUGUGCUGGAACAUACAUCCAAAUUUAAAACAAUAUCAACAUGCAGAAUUCUUACUAUGAAAUUCAAGAUUUUGAAACCUGAAACUUUCUUUGUUGGUACUCUCAUAAGCUGGUCUCACAAAGGGCAGGUGCUACUAAGUACUGUCACGGCUGACUGACUGAAAUGAAAUUUAUGAAACUCAUUGUAGGAGGCAGGCUAGCCCACAGCUGUCUGCAUGUUCACAGAAAUUAGGCUAUGUCAAACAGGAGGUGCACUACAUUUAAAGCAGUGAGUGAAUAGUCAGAAAUGAGCAUGGCUGGGAGGCUUCAAUAGCAGUUAUCAGACUCAGUUGAGGGCCUGGGGUACAGCCAAGGUCUCACAAGCAUGCAGCUGCCCACUUACCAUAAACACAAAGGCUCAGCAUGGCUAUGCAUGGCAGCCAAGGAGGCCUACGUUUUAAAGCAGGCCUGCUGUUUAAUUUUCUCAUACAUAAUCACUUGCACUGUAUACAUUUGUCCAGAACAACGGCUUUGUGGAUCUCUGUAAUCACGGCUUUCAACAAACUUGUCCAAGUUGGAGAGAAAUGCUGUCCACUUGAAUUCUAAAUCUAGCCAAGUCACUUAAUUACAGAGGCUUGAAGACACAACAACGACAUUGGAAAAGCAUUGCAUGUUAAUGGACCAAAAUAAGAAUAAGGCACAUUGAGUGGACAUUAUAAUGCAGGGGAGAGACUACUCCUGGGGUUUACAUGCAGGAAUUUAUCCAACCUAAACACUGCCUUCCCUCUGACUACAUUGUCUCAUGGAAGUGAACAAUGCUGCAACAAUGGCAUUACAGUACACAGGAUAUUUACAUAUUGUUUAAGGCAAGUUCUGAUAGGCAGUCACUCGUGUCCUUGAGCUAAAACUGUUUAACAGUUUUUCAGAGGAGCUUGCCAACCAUCCAGGUGGAUGCCUCUUAAUUUUAGAAGAAAAGGCCCUGAAAACUAAGCUAGUCCAAGUUACCAACACAAACACUCCCUUAAACCCCUUUUCUAAAAUCCUUUAUGAAAGGGAAAUGAGUCUGGCAAAGAAAUUACUGUGAUGGGAGCUCACAGAAGCAAACAGGAUUAUGACAGAAAGGCCACAAGCUGCUAAUUGUGAAAAAUAAAUAUUACACAUGCAUGUACAGAAAGUAAAAAAUAAAUACAUCUGUACUUCAAGGACAAGCCACCUAAUGUAACCCUAAUAAAUGAUACAAGCCACCUAUAAAUUUUAUCAGACCCAAUUAUAGCUAUGGGACACAGCCAGUAGUUCAGGUUUAACAAGUUAACAAGUUCUUGUGUUUAUGAUCCCAACAUCCACUUAAAUUGCAGAAUCUGUUGGACUGUGUAUCAGCCAGUCCUGACUUCAUACCCGAGGGUAAGGUUGGUAAGAUAAAGAUAAGAAAAACAGCAUAGAGUGUAACUACACACGGAUCUGAGAAAUAGAUGGGCCACCAAUGUCCCACCAGCAAAUAAAUACCUGUAAAAUGUAUUUUAAAAGUCUUAUACAUUUGUCACUAACUAAUCAACACUGACUUCUUUUGCAAUGCGUGAGGGAAAAUCCAGUAUGAGAUCAGAAUGUCUGGACUUCAAAGUCACUUUACAAAUGUAUGUGGAUGAAUUUAUACUUACUGUCAAAAAUGCUGAGUGGAUGAAUGGACAAACUUACUAUUAUAUCUUUUUUAUAUAUAUAAUUAUUAUAAGUCCCUACAAUAUUAAAUCACAAAUUAUAGUGACAAAACAUAAAUAUAAUAAGCGGCAGAAGACAAAAUCAUUUACAGUAGAAUUUAUGCAAGUAAUAACCUAGGCAAAACACAAAAAGGGCAUGGCUAAGGCAGUACACAAGAGGAAAAGUUGCUAAGCUAACUAACUACUACUUUUAGCUAUGUUUUGUUUUCACCGACAACACUUUGCUGGGAGUUACUUCUAAUGUGUCACCAUAAAUAUUACAUUAACAGAAACCACGCACUUUCAAAACACAGAGGAACAUCGCACCUCACUCUUUAUGACAUAGUAGUAACAGAUUCAAAGUUAGCUAAGCCAGAAAGUUUUUUUUUAGACUAAAAACUGCCACUCACAAUCAUCACGGUGAGCGUCUCGUAUCUUCAACAACCACCGGGCAACUGGUUAGUUUCGGUUGACCGUGUUGAGUUUUGUUUUACUAAAGAAAAAAAAGAACAGGAAGCUUACUUCAGCUCAAGGCAGCUCCUGCAGACUACAACAUUAACCCAGUGCUCUACUGUCCAACAAGACUGCACGCUAAUGAGCCUGUGACAACAUACGCGAGCCGUACCACUUUGGGUAGGGGCGAGGGGUGUCCCACGAGUUAUUUAUGCUACAAUCUUUUUUAGUUUUCUCAUAUUCUUUGCGUUUCUUUAGUUUAUUUAUACCUCAUACACAAUUCAGUCGAAGCUUGUUAUGGUAGAAAUGAAAAUAUUAUCCUCUGAUGUUUUUUGUAAAAGAGACCACCCCGCGCCUACAACUAAUGGUCUGAGCAACCCUGUUGUAAUGAAAAGUAAUCACAGUUUUGAUCUGAGCAUAUAGACAGGGUACUUUCACAAUACACAGCAGUGUAACAUGAUAACCUACCGAGUGCGUGUGACUUACAGACAGGGUGAGGGAGUAAAAUGCAUGUUCUAUAUACAUAGCUUGUUCCACCUUACAUUAUCAGUUCCAGUACAGCACAGGCCAAUCCUGAAUAAAUAGAUUUAUUGCAAGCAGAUGUUCUUCCAGGAACUAAAUUCAGUCUUUAUCAUGACCUACAGCAGCAAAGCCAUACAAGUUUAGCUUUUCAUACAUGCACACACAAACGCUGUGCAGCUGGUGUAUAUGUGGUAACCUGCACACAAUAUUUGCUUGCCUUCUAACUUCUUAAACAUAUAAAACAGACGUGUGCUUGUGGUCGUUGUACACUUUUAUCAGUUUAUUUAAACAAGUAUUUUUACAAGAGGUGGGUAUCUCACCUUAAAGUUGGUUUAGCUCACUGUUUGUUUAAAUAUGGGUCCACUGGAUGAGCCAGUGGCAAUUCAAUUCAUGAAGUCCAUGCUUUUUCUAUGCAUUGUUAAAGGACUGCAAAUUAUCAUCCCUGUCCCAUAACAUUAUGUACAGUAAAUCAAUAUAUUUCCUAGGAGCUGGAAUUAAUAUAGUGGGCCUCAGAAGGGUGGGGAGCUGAGACUCACCCCUGGCAGACACUAUUGUUAAUCAAGGAGUAACAUCUGUUGUGUGCCUCUAAUCUCCCCCAGACUGUCAGGCUGUCCUCCUCGGUUUUAGACUGUCUGCCUUUUGUGUUAAAGGGCACCCAGGAUUUGUCUCUUCUACUAUCCGGGCUAGAGUUUUGGGGUUUUUCACAAAAUCCCUAUAGAGAAGGUAUUUAGCAAACAGAUAAUAAGACAAACUUUUGGCUUUUCUGUUUCAUAGCAUUAAAAGUCACUCUUUAGGAAGAAAAUACCUUGCAGAACAGGGGUGGAAGUCUUCCUGUUCAACAGGUUUGCUAGUGUGUGUUGUGACUAUCACAACCAGGGGGCAGUGUGCACCAAUUAUAGUGUGGGAAAAUGCUACAAAAAGUAACCUGGAGUGUGUUUGCUGAUGUAGCUACAAAUUAUGGUGUUUUUGCAUAUUUCUUUAUGAUUUUUGUUAAUAAAUCUGUAGCUAGCAUAUGGUUAACAGUAAAUGGGGAGUUAUCUUCCAGCUCCAUUUACUGAGACCCCAUGCAGAAUGCUAUACACCAUCUGGGGUUCACACUGUGGCUGGAGACAGAUGGCUAAAAGACUCCUGUUACAGGAGCCAUCCCUUCUCAACUUUAAUGAACAGUUAAUCCUCUCUAUCACACAGCAUAAUUUCCUAUUAUAUCAGAUAAUUUGAAGCAAAUGUAAUUAAAAUUAAACUUUAGAAACUCGUGCCAUAGCACAGCCCAGUUCCAGUGGUGAAUGAAGAAAGGGGAGUGCAUCUAUUUUGUAUGUGCUGCUUUGGUUUGCUUGUUAUGUAAUCGAAAAACAUAAAUCCUUAAUACAGAAUCAACAUUUUUAAAAUGCAGUUUGCCUGAGCAGGUGACCCCUGAUUAAAGGAAAAACACUGACACCAUUUGUCAAAAUGCAGAAGUACAUUCAUUUCAUAAAUUGCCUGUUGCUGAGUUUUUAUGUUUUGUUUUUACAGUGACUCUCUUGUGUACUCAGUAGGAUACUGUAACUACAGACAGGGCAUAAAAAGAACAUAUGGCUUUCAUGGAAGUCCAUUAAACUUCACUGCUUCUCAUCUAUCCCACUAAUCCUCAUCCAUAAUGUUUAUAGCCAAGUUAAUUGAACUGGCACAUCUCUGUGGGAUUGGAGAUCCCUUCUAAGAGGUUCUAAAGCCACUUUUUUUUUGCCAAAGCAUGCACAUUGCUAAAACCACUACGGCUUCUGAAAGAGGUGCAGCUGUUUGACCAGUAACAGUUCUUUAAGUGACUGUGUGGGUGGGUUAUUUAGGG
Molecule: long non-coding RNA, 16821 nt
Organism: Haplochromis burtoni (Burton's mouthbrooder)
Lineage: Eukaryota; Metazoa; Chordata; Actinopteri; Cichliformes; Cichlidae
Exons: 2
Source: RefSeq, a predicted model, not a curated record